RNAcentral lists this long non-coding RNA (11666 nucleotides) under Durio zibethinus. Its description in RNAcentral is "long non-coding RNA (DZIB_LNC001744)". The record is from RNAcentral. Lineage: Eukaryota; Viridiplantae; Streptophyta; Magnoliopsida; Malvales; Malvaceae.
GUCAGUGAGCUAUUUAUUGCCGCCAAUAGCGCUUCGCUUGCAUGCAAGGCGGCACGCCAGGUAGAGCUAUCGCUAAGGGCGAAGGAGAUGCAUUUCUGUACUGGUAGUACUGGACAAGCUCUCAGGGAAUAAUCUCUUUCUUAUUUCUGCCUUUCUUUCCCAUGACGACUAGGAACAGGCAAAUCAAAAAUUUCACUUCGAAUUUCGGACCUCAACAUCCUGCUGCUCAUGGUGUCUGGAAGGAAAAUGGGGAGAAUAAGGGAUAGAGAAAGACGAAGGCUGUUCAUCUCAGCUUGCUUUUCUUUUUUUUAAUUUCAUUUUUUUCGAAGUAACUGUUCUUUGUUUUCCCCUAGAAUGUCACUUCUUUUUCUCUUGGAAAAUUUGCAGAGAGACAGACUAAUUCUUUUUAUUUGGUGUUCCUCAAAAUUUGAAAGUUUUUUCCUUUUUAAAGUCAAAAUUCUAAUAUUUCUUCUUUUUUGGAUUAUUUGAUUUUCUAAUUAGAAACUUGAAUCAACAAUAGGUCAAAGGAGGUGGAAAUGAAAAGGAAGUGAAGAAGAGAGAACGGGAAUCUUUGAGUAACUUGGCUCAUGGAAACCAUCCAGAAGGGUUCCCUUUUUUCUAAAUUAAGCUAACUGAACAUGAACAUAUUAUUAGAAAGUAUUAUCCCAAGAACAAAGGUCAUCUGACAUAUAUUGAUCUAAUUAGUAAUUCUCCUGUGAUUAUUAGAGAGGUAGAACAUUAUGAUCGCGGAAGCUUGUGUGGCACAUUUGAUCUGAGUGUAAAUUACUAUUCUAUUACUGUUGAAAUCGUACAUAUCCUUGGUUGUUUUUAAGAUUUUAAAGCACAAUUUCUUGUGGUCUACCUCAUUGUUCUCUUUGGUUGCAUCCCUUAUAAUUUUAUAUGUUUGUAUGUUUUAUAUGAUUCAGUCUAUAUUGGAGGAAAUUUCAUCUACAUGGAUGAAUGUUUCUUUAAGAAUGAAAGAUGACCCAGAAACCGAUAAGGCAUUAGGAUACGUGUUAGAAAUGUGAGAAACUUUUUACUAAUUUUGUCUUUAUUUUAUUCUUUUGCUUGAUAUGGCCUUUCACAUAGGUGAUCAUUUGAUUGAACUUAGGUAUGCAUAUGUUGUGGCAACAGCACUGCAUGGCGUGUGCUAUUUACUUCGUAAAGACUUCAUGCCCCAAGUUCUAACAAUACAUUAUGGGUCUUCCUUUUUUCCCUCAAUGACUUUUAACCAGCAGUUGAAAUUUAACUUCAGUUUUUGUUUGUUAUCAACCACCAUAGGAUUUGGAAGUAGGGAAGAAAUUUAUAAUCUAUUAUACUUAUGGAUGAGACUACAAUUUAAAGGUACAAGGAUCUUUCUUUCUAAUUUGUUAUAUUUAAAGACUAAUGUGUAAGCUGUAAUUUUUUACCUCUUUAAGAUAAUUUUGCCUUCCUAGCCAUAUUUUAUACCAUAAGUUCUUCACUCUACGUCGGCAUUACAAGGAGAAUUAAUAUAUGGAAAGAUUGGAGAAUGGCGUUUUGACAAGUGAUUAUAUCUUAGUAGGCCUCAACCAAGAAACCUCUCUUUGCUUCCUUCAAGUGUUCUUAAAAGUGUGAUAAGUUCAUUGAUAAGUUUCAUUUUCUAGGGAUCCUUUGGGAAAUUAUAAAUACAGGCCACCUAGUAAAAAUAGAAGUUGAUAGAUUGAUCAUUAAGUAAAAAAAUUCGAACCACACCCCAGAGUGAAUUUUUUUAGUUACUGUACCCAAAAGCAAGAUGCAGUUAAAGGCUGUAAUUAGUGUCUCAAUCAUUAUUGGUUCAUCAAAUAGCUUUGUAUUUUAUACUCAGUUCAAAUUACGUUGCAAAUGCUUUAAUCUUCAUUGCGUAGACUGAACAUUAUUUGGGAAAUUCAAAAUUCAAAAUUACAGCUUGAUUUCCUCAUCAUUAUUAGCUUUAGUUAUCAACUCAAUGUGAUUGGGAAUUGAUGACAUUAAGUUGGUGAUAAUCAAUGUCAUAAAUACUACUAAAGUAGCAGCUUGGAACUCAUAUUUUGCCAUUGCCUCUAGAAGCAAUAGCAUAAUCAGUCAAUCGCCCUUAGGUUUUGCUAUUUGCUUUACCAUUAGGACAGUGUUCCCUUUUUUGUUCACUAUAUUUUAGUUAUUUUAAUUUGUAAAUUUAAUAAGUUUAAUAUUUUAUUGGCCUAGAAUGCAAACUUUAUUUUUUAUGUAAUUUUCCUUUCUUUAAAAUUGAAUUAUAUAAUUCUUGACUGUAGGAAGUGAAUUUAUUUCGGUUGAGUUUGUUGAAACUUGCUUUGAUGCAUAAUUUUUUUUUUGGUUAUUUACUUUUUCAACUGAAAUUUAAGGUUUAGUUUUGAAAAGAUGAGACAUUGUAGAGAAGGUCUCAUUGAUUUGUAUGAGGUUUAUAAAUGUGGUGAUUACUUAGCUUGCAAUUGCAAAAACUGUAACUCCCCCGACUUUGUGGGCAUUUUUGUUGUUGUUGGAAUAGGCCUCAUUUUAACAUUUUUUAAUUACUAUUGUUAAAAGGCAUGGUUUGUUGAAUUUGAAGUCAAUGUGUUGAAGUUUCUAACAAUUCCAAAAUCCAAAUUAAACAACUGGUACGUUUUCCUAAGUCAUUAAUGGAGCCUAUGCUAUGUAAUUAGAAAAAAAUAAAAGAUGAUAAAAUGCAGCUGAAGUUUUUAGUUCAACUUUACCACUGGCCAUAACAGUUGCAGUAUCUUCAUAAUUAAGCUACUUAUUAAUGAGUAGAUUAUUUUGGAAGGUUUUUAGUCUCUUGGUAUAUGUAUGAGUGUCACGAACUUAAGGAAGAGUCUUGAAUCUCACAUUGAACAUAAUAAGAGGUUCACUGGGGUAUAAAAGGGUUCACACCACUUCUUCCUUGUGAGGCGUCUUCUGUAGGACAAAAUUGUGAGGUUGGGGGGCCAGAGCGGACAAUACCUCAUAAGGGUGUGAAUCGUGGCAGUUAAGCUGAUCCGGGACAUCGGAUGGGUGAAUGUCCGGGUCCCGGAGUCGUGUGGGUUUGGAGCUUAAGUCUCGACCCGUGACAAGUGGUAUCAGAGCUAGCCCUAAACCGUUCGAUCCAUGUCGAGCGCCUGAGUGAGGUAGGUAGGGUGGCCAGCCUCCAUGACGAAAGCGUCAUGAGGUUGGGUGGGGGAAAAUGUCACGGACCUAAGGAAGAGUCAUAAAUCUCACAUUGAACAUAAUAGGAGGGUUACUGGGUAUAAAAGAGUUUACACCACUUUUUUUAGGAUAAAACUUGUGAGGGUCAGGGGGUCAGUGAGCGGACAAUACCUCAAGGGUGAACUGUGACAGUAGGUUGAUUUGGGAUGUCGGAUGAGUGAAUGCCCGAUCCGAAAUCGUGCGGUUUUUGAAACUUAAGUCUCGACCCGUGACAUGAGAAAGUAGGUAAAGUCAUGGGAAUAUAGAAUUCAUACCCAAAGGAUCUAGAACUGUCAGUGCAUGAGGUUAACAAAAUCAUUUAUAGUAUUGAGGACUUUUUGUUCUCGAAAGGCCAGGUCUAAUGAUCUAAUGAAAAUGGUGACUGCAGAAAUCGGGCUAUGAUUGAUGGAGGUGUAGAUUACAGCUUUGAAUGUGCUGGAAACCUUGAGGUUCUUUUUUGUCUACUUAUACCGUUAAGUCCUUUUCUAUUACUCUUUGCCUCUGGUUUUUUAGUUUCAUUUUGUUAAUAUAAAAAGAAUAAAAUUUUUUAUUUUUCUUACCAUUAAUAAAGCCUUGCAUAUUAGAUUACAAGAAUGAAUGUAAACGGAUUUGAAGGGCAUCAUUUUGGAUAUACAGGAAUGGGGAUUGACUGUACUAUUGGGAAGUCACCCAUGCCCAAUGUUGCUACCUCUCCAUCAAAUUGAGUAAUUUAACGGGCGUCAAAUCUUAUGAUCGAUCUUUGGAGGCUUCUAAGGCAAAACCCGACUACCAAAGUUUGCCAAACAAUGCAUGUGUGGGGUAAGUUAAUGAUCAAGCUCUGGUACUUUCUUUGUAUAUAGUUGAGUUUUUUAAGUCCAAUGCCAUUAAAUUUACAUUGUUGUCAUGGUUAAAAAAUUACUAAUAUAUGUUUGCAGUUGUUUCUGUAAGUUAGGAAAGAUGAUCAUAUAUGUUGGUUCUCAGUUGUGGCUGCAAUCAUAUCUUCUACCUAUUUUUGCGUUGCUCUUGGUUUUGAAAUUGUUAAAGUUGCACACACACACACAUAUACAUUUAUUAGUUUUUGGACAACUAAUUUUUUAAGCAUGGAGAUUAAAAUUUUGAUCUUAAACUGAAGUUUGGUGUUCAUUUUGGUCAGUUAUUAAAACUCUUGAUCUGAUGCUUAUUGGAAUAAGCAUAAGAAGAGUAACAUAAGCCAAAAAAAAUGGAGCUUCCAAAUUCAAACUAAUCCUACUUUAGUUAGCUAGAUUAUUUUAGUUAAGUUUCUUAUAAAAAUAUGAUAUGUAUAGUUUACAAAUUGUGAUUGAUUCAAUAAAAUUUAUUAUAUCUUACUUUUCUUUGAUGCAUAAAUUCUUAGAUUGACUUUGUUUUAAUUAUUUUUUCUUAGUAUACUUUUUUUUCAAUAAAAUAAAAAUAUUAUAUAUUUCAAAAUUUUAAUUAUGCUAAAUAAAAACACUUAUGGUGAAGCACGGGCAUCAUACUAUUGUUAAUAAAAGUCUUUACCUUAAUUCGUACACAAUAUUUCUAAUAUCUUUGAAAACAAUUUUAUGAUAUUAUUUUGAUACAAGUUUGCCAUUUCUGAGAUCAAAUUAAACAAAAUUUUUUUAUUUUGUAUUUGUUUGAAUACGAAUUAAGUUAAAUGGAAUCAAACUAAUUAAUACAUUCACAUAAACAUUAUCUAAUUUUUAAUAUGAGUUGAAUUAGAAUUUUAUUUCUCAUAUAAUUUCACAUAAGUACUAUAGGAAGCAUAUUACUAAAAAGAUUGAGAUAUGUGAUAUAUAAAUAAACACAUAUUGGUAAAAAUUAAUAACAAGUAUUAUUCUCAAUUACUCUAAUAAUAACUUUCUAAAACUUUCUCUUACUUAAUUUUUGACUAUUUACAUUACUAGAAAAAACUUACAUGAAGUUUUUUUUUGGUGAAUUUAUGUGAAGUUUGUAAAGUUCUUUCUUAAAAAUGAUUUAGUAAAAACUUUAAUAAAAAAUCCAAAUUGAUAAACUAAUAGAGUUCAAUGUAAACAAUUAAUAAUAUAUGCAAAAAUUAUUAAAAAUAUUAUUUAUAAUUUAAAUUUGAUCGAUACUUAUUCAAUAGUAAAAAUUCUAUCAAUAUUUUUACUAAAAAUGUUAAAAAUUCUAUCAACAUUUUUACUAAAAUUGUCUAUAUAAAAAAUAUAUCAAAAUUUAUUAAUUUUUUUUUCAAAAUUUGCACACUUAAUCUAUGUAACAAGAAUUUUUAAUAUAUCAAUUUAUAUUAUAGAUUUUAGUUUUUAUAUAAUUGUUUUUAAUAUAAAACUUAGCAUAAAAAAUUUCCUCUAAAUCUUUCUCCUAUAUUACUACAUAGAAUCAUACGAAAAUAGAAUAAGAAAUAGAUCCUAGAGGUUUGUAAAAAAGUAAUAAAUAAAUUGAUUUGGAAAUCCAAAUUAUCAUGAAGCAUAUAAUCUUAAGUCUAAUAUUACUAGAUUAUUCACAUUGUAGAAGUCUUUGGAGUUAAAGUAAUACUAACUAGCAGCAAAAAAAGGGUUUUUUUUAAUGUAUUUAUGUCAAACCAAAUCUUUGACAAUAUUAAACAAUCAGCCUAUUCCUAAUUAUUAGCUUGAAGCCUUGAACCAUUGAACCUUGACACGAUUAAGAAUGAUUAUAAAGCAAAUUUGUGUUACUAUUUCAAAGAUGAUUUUCACUUUUAGCCACUGCAUUACCAAACAUUUCCCAUAAAUUUCCCCCUUUCAUAAGUCCUAACUACUAAGUAGAAACUUUUCACCAUAAAGUUGUCAGGGUUGGACUACAGCCUACUAGGGUGUAAUUGGAUUGAAUCAAAUUAAUAUAGUAAAAAAGUUGAACUCAAACUCGAUUUGAAAUUCAUUGUUCGAAAUUUGUUGCUCAAAAUUUAAUUUGAGUUCGAUCAAAUUUUGAUUUUCAAACUUGAGUUCAACUUGAAAUAAAUAUCAAGUUACUUAAGUUCUCUCUCGAUUAGACUCGUUUACUAAAUAAAAAAGAGCUCAAUUUCAAAUCUUCAUUGUAAGCUUGAUUAUUUAUGUUUGAACUUAAGUUUGUACUCGAAUUGAUAUACAUAUAUAACGAUAAAAAAUAAUUUUCUAAUUAAAAUAACAAAUAUAUGUUAAAAUAUAAAAGUUUUAAUAGGAUCGCGAACUAUUUAAGUCAAACAUUAAAAUAUCGAACUCGGCUCGCUCAAUAAGUUGAGCUACUCGACUUUGGCUCAAUAAUAAUUGAACAAAUUUUGAGUUUUAUCCAAAUCAAAACUUAAAAGAGUUUAUGAAUAUUGAUAUAUCAUUUGCAUUCUUAAAACCUACCAUAUUCAGGUUAUUGCUGGGCCAAGCACCAAUUCAAAAUGUCUAUGUUGGGUUAAACUAAGACCCUUGUAUAGCUAAAGUUAAUUUCCACAAAUUCCUUACUAAUUCAGCAACAACAUCCAAAACAUAAGGUUGCAGCUCCCAAAUUUAACAUUUUGCUUAUAAGAGUUGGCUCAACUCAAAGCCCUCAAAUCAUGUACCAACUUUUCCUUUUUGUUUUACUAUCAUUUUUUUUUCAUUUGAGAAAACAUCUAUAUUCUUCUUAUUUUGGUUCAUCUCGUGCAACUUUACUGAUGCACUACUAGCUUCACCAAUCACCACUUUUACAUAUUGUUGUUGGUGAACCAUAAAAAAAAUGUUCACACAAACAAAAAUUGUCAAUCUUUAAGUAAUGCAAAGUGUCAAUGGGGCCUUAAACCAAUGAUAGACCCCUAUAGCCACUAAGUAAAAAGGCUUAGCACUAAUGACAAUAUUCGUCAACUAUGGACUGCUUAUGUUUGGUAUCUUUUUAAGGAAGGCACCUGAUUUUCAUUGAAUGGUAUUAGAGCGAGGGGAUAGUACCUCGUUGAAUUAUCUUCCCUCGUUGAAUGGUAUUAAAGUUUCAACCUUAUUUAGUUUGUUAGUUUUUUGGUGUCAUCUUCUUGUUGUUGUCAUCUCUUUGUUGAAUGGUAUUAGAGUUUUCUUGAGGUAUAUAGAAUAAAAAAACUAAUAUAUUAUUAGACUGGUGGAAUUAGAUAACCAAAACUUCUUUCUCAUGAAUAUGUUAAACACUAUUGAUUCACAACCUUCAACCUCUAGAUCUUUUUUUUCUUUACCUUAUCCUGUAUUUAAAGAAUCAUUUUCUUCUAAAUUAAAUGUCCUUUAUGAAAUUAAUUGUAUCCCAAAAAAUAAAAAAAAUCCAAGAAACAUAACUUCCUCUUGUAAAUCCUUAUAAUGCUUUCUCUAGAUCUCCUACUUCUUUAGUUAUAUCCAUAAAAACCCUUCUCAAACAAAAAUGUAAAGCUCUAAAAGAAUAAGUUCAAGCUUCUAAGUUUGAUUAAUGUAUUCUUCUAGUAGGAUCUUAUGAGCACUUUGUUACUCUUAAGAUUUCUUUAGAAUUUCUAGAAUAGUGGAUAGAACAAAGAGACACCCAUAUCCACUUUGGUGUUAUUAGAAUAGCAUUAAGUUUUUAUAGGCUAAAUGGUAAUCCUAUUUGGACCAAGAUGGCUUUACUGUAUACAAGGUUUAAAGACUAUAAGCAUGCAAUAUUUGACAUAAUUGAGAUGACUUUAAAUGUGAGAAUUGUUUCUACACAGUAUUUCCUAACUACAACAUGUCUCUACAAUAUCAUACUCUUUAAAUGCUCUAAAAGUUUAAGUUUAGUUUGUUGGAACUCAGAAGAAAGAAUUUCAGGCAACUCUUCACUAUUAGAUGGCUUACAGAAUCCAAGAUCAUGCCAUAAACCUCCAUUUGCUUGACAUUGGCAGUGUAGUCUUUGUAAAGUUAAAAGUUGUAGACAAGAGCCCCAGAUGCAUUUACAUUCUAAAAUAGAUUUUAAAUGAAGAUUUCGCUACCCUGCUUUUUCAGUUAUGGACAACAAGUUACCAAAAGCUUUGGAACUAGAAUGUACCCAUCGAACACUUUAAUCUUUGCUACACCAUAAACCUAGAUGGUACUAUCACAAUCAAAUUUGAUCAUAAUAAGCAAAAAGAAACCCCUACUCUAGCCUUUGUCUUUCCAACAUAGUUUAUGAUGCAACCAUGUCAACUAGAGCCAAAUGUAGUAGUUACACACUUUAAGCCUAAUGGAUUACUUGUAUAUACAUAUAGAUCUCCAGAAAAACAUUACUAUUGAGACAUUGAUUGUAGUUGCAAAAGAUGCCAGAUGGAAAGACAUAGAAGUUUAUUUGACGAUCACUAUAAUAAUUAAAAAAAAAACAAGACGCAAAUCUUUCAGCAAAAGUUGAAAGAAAGAUUUGAAAAUGGAGACCUUAAAGUAAAUAUCCUUGGCAAACCUUUGAGAAAGUUUGAUUAUUAUGUCAUUUAUCCCAAAGACAAGAAGCUAGACAUCCCUUAGUCAAAUUGUUCAAACCAAAAACCUGAAAAGCCAAAACCUUGACCAAAAAUACCCUUACCUUGUUAUGCUGUUAGUUUUGCUUACAUUGCUAAAAAAUAUUCAGAAAAAGCCAAGCUCUAAAAAACUAUAAAUAAUAAGUCAACAAUGUUGUUCUAGAUGUUUCUCCUAAACCUUUUUUUCAAAUUUGUAUGAUGUAGCCAAUAAGAUCUUCUGAUUCUUAUGAUGCAAAAUUUCUUUUUUUUUUCUAGGAAUUCAUAAAAGAUCAAUAUAAGUACAUCCCAAAAAUCUCAAAUAGCUAAUUGAAUGCAACAAUGGUUACACUUAUUCCUUUGUUGAAAGCAAAAGAGAAAUGAAAAGCCUCAAGCUUCAACUAGCAGGUAUCAAAAAUCAACUUUGUCAUAAACAACAAUAACAAGCCUCAAGUUCAAAUAUCUUUGCCCUAGUAAACAUUGGAAUGCAUGAUAUUCCUUACCAAGCAUACACUCCACAUUCACCUCCAAAACCUUUCUUCACCCCAUUCUAAUACAAAACUAAACUAAGCACAUUAGUGUUCACACCCCUAAUCUACAACCAUUACCUUAUACCCUUAGAUAAUAUUUUUUACGCCCAUUUCGGAACAACCAUUCUUUACUCCCCCUUUAAAUAAAUAAAUAUAUUUAGAUAAAAAAUAGUCAAUUGAACAGAAACCUAAAAAUGCAAAACAACCACUUCUUUAAUUUUCAAAACCAAAAACAGUCGCAACCACAGUUGCAAUUUUAUUUACCCUCAUUUCUGAAAACUCAACUGGUGAUUCUUCUAAACCAUUAUCCCAGGUUAUGAUUUCUUCCACACCAAACAUCUUUCCUAGAAUUUUCUAGUAAAUGGCACAAGAAAAUCUUCUUCAGUUUUUAAUUGAAGGCAUUUUUCCUACUAGAGAUGUAUAAGAUACUUCUAUGAUGGACUUUGAUGAAGUAUUUUUUGAUGAUGAGACUAAUAGUGUCAUCCAAUAGAUCUUCAUAAUAGAACUAAUAGUUGAAAUCCUAGAUGACAAUCUAGUAGUUCAUAACCUAGAAUAAAUGGAUAGUGAUCAAGAACUUCUUUCUUUUUUUUUUUUUUUUUAAGCUCAUAAUUCCUUAUCAUUAUCCAGAUUCUCAGUGUUCACAAUUGAUGACUUUCUUACAUCCAAAUGGCAUUCAAGAUUCCAAGAAUUUUUUCCAUAGGGGUAGUUGAAUUGAAUUCUAAUCCUAACAUCAAAAUGCUGAUAGUUUUAAUAUGUUUUGUUUCAAGGCUGGUUGAAACCUUCAAUAACUUUUAGGAUAAUAUUGGUGAAUAUAGAUGGUUACAGUUUCUUCAAUGCCAUAUAAUUACAAAAGCUGUAUAUUAGUUUUUAGCAAUAUUUUGUGGCUAAGAAACUUAUCGAAUGGAUAAGAUUAAAGAGUAAUUUUUCAAGUUAAAAUACUGUUCACUCAAUCCAAAAGAUCUUGACAAACGCUACCAACAAUUUUUUUAGUAUUUUUAUCUGCUUGGUGGAUUGGAUGAUGUUAAUCUGAAACAAGCUUUCUUCAACUCAGUUUCAGAAGAUCUUGCUUAAUAGAUAAGAACUCAACUCAAUCUUAGAUCUCUUGAUUUGAAAAGCAUGAACCUUAGUGACAUUUACAAGGUUAUAAUGAAAGCUUUUGACAAGAUUUAUGAAGAGCACAAGUACAUUAUAGACUUUGUGAACAAUUACAGAAAAAUAGAUAGACUAUGUUCUUAUUCUUCAAUUGGUUACAGAUCAAAUUUUUUGAAAAAAGCUCAUCAUAUUUUUGUUAUUAGAAGAAGAAAAAACAAUUCAAAAAGUUCAAUGUGUUUAGACGCCUCAAAAGCUAUAAUUUUUCAAACACAAGAAACUUUCCAAAAAGCUUAAAAGAUUUCAAAGAUUCAAGUUAGGUAGAAAGAAAAGAGACUAAAAGAAAAAAAAGGUAACAAAUUUUUUUUUAUGGAAAAUCAAGUUAUUUUGCAAAGAACAAUCCAAAAUCUGAUGAGAAAUCCAUUAAGAUGAUACAGGAUAUUGCAAAUAUCAAGCUUCCUUAAUGGUCUUAGAAAUAGACACAAUCAGUAAAGAUGCUCAAGGUCAAGUUAAAGUUUAUUUUAGCCUUGAAGAUUCCCUCAGAUAUCAAAAGAAUCUUAUAGACUGAUGAAAGUGAUAAAUUUUAAUCCAUGAUUCUCUUUAAAGGAAAAGAUGAAAAAAGAUAGAUAUGUGGAUACAAAAGUAGCAAAUUCAAAUUGUAGACACCCAAUCAGGUCCGGGCCCGGAUCAAUUGGGCCUGACCCGGAUCAAUUGGGCCUGACCCAGAUCAUUUGGGCCUGGCCCAAAUGGGCAAGGCCCAAUUGAAUUUUUACCCGUAUUUUUUAUUUUUUAUUUUUAUUUUUUUUUCUCUCUUGUGUAUUUUAUUAUUUAUUAUUAUGUAUUAAUAUAUGUAUAUAUAUAUAUAUAUAUUUUUUUUCAUUAGAAUAGAUUUAUAUGUAUAUAGUUAUAUAUUUAUUAUUAUUAUAUUAUUAUUCUUAUCUUUUUUUUAAUUAUCUGUUCUGAUUUUUUCUGAUUUUCAGAUAUUAUUUGAAAAUUUUUUGUCUUUUGAUUUAUCUUUCCAAUUAUCUAGAUUUUUUUUUUAAUUUUAUUUUAAUUUUUAUUUUGGAGGGCUAGGAUUCAAAGUUGAAGACUCCCACUCUGAAGGGGAAUUCAAUCAGAAGAGUCCAAUUGGAUUCAAAGACUGAAUUCCCGUCCAAAGAGGAAUUGGGAUUGAUCAGAAACUCCUGAUCAAUCCCUAUAAAAAGGACCCCCCUGGAACAGUCAAGAACACACAGAAAACAGAAGCAAAAGCUACUGAUUGAGAGAAUAGGGGUGUUUAGAGAGCUAAGGAAAAGUUUAGGAGUGUUCUGGCAGUGAGAAAAAUUUUUUAGAAAAAUUUGGCGAAAAAAUUUUCUAGAAAUUUCCAGAUUCCGGCGAAAAUUCCGGCGACUUUUGAAUUUUUCGGCGACAAUUCCGGCGAACUUUGAAGUUUCCGGCGACAGACCCAGUUUCCGGCGGAGAAUCCCAGAAACCGGCGACCAUCCGGCCAAUUUCCGGCGAAAUUCCCAGAUUCCGGCGAAAUUUCCAGAAUCCGGCACCGGCGUUCUUCAAAUUCUAGAGAGAAGGCAGAG